UGAGUGUAGUUAUGCGUGGUUGGUCAGCAUAAUGCACAAUCCCUUUCCUCUCAAGCGUGUUAUACUCAAGAUUGGGGCAGGAUAUUUCAGUGGCCAACUAUUAGAGGGAUCCCUAUCAGUGGGAGCUCUACAAGGAGUACAGUUCCUUCCUCUACCCCCUCAACCAUCCUAGUGACUCCUCCCACAAGACCAACUUUGAGCGGGUUGAGCAGCUGGUGUUGACUGGUGGCCCUGACGAUGGUGUCAUCACUCCCUGGCAGUCAAGCCAAUUUGCAUUCUAUGAUGAGAACGAGAUAAUUAUUGACAUGGAAAAUCAAAAAUAUUUUGUAAAGAACACGUUUGGUCUCCAAACUCUCCACUCAAGAGGGGCCAUCCACAGCCACAUCAUCCCUGGGGUGCAGCACACACAGUGGCAUGGAAACAAGGAUGUAUUUGACUGCUGCAUUGCCCCCUACCUCUAAUAACUGUAUUCAUUUUGUUAUUACACAUGUUUACUUUUAGUAGGGCUUCUUUUCAUGAUUUGUGUGGGUUGCAGGUGCAUGUGACUCUUCAGCACAACUCCAGCUAGCUAGCUAUAAUUAUUGUGUUAAAAUUAUAUAUAAUUAAAAUUAAUUAAAAAAAUAGCUCGAAAUAAUUUUUGGCAUCAAUGUCCAUUUUUGGUAAAGAUCAUUUCAUUAAGUUUUGCACAAUGACAUCAACCAAAAUGGCAGGUAAUAAGUGG
Halichondria panicea is the source of this 721-nucleotide long non-coding RNA. RefSeq lists it as uncharacterized. The record is from RefSeq and is a predicted model, not a curated record. Lineage: Eukaryota; Metazoa; Porifera; Demospongiae; Suberitida; Halichondriidae. The transcript is spliced from 4 exons.